UACAGAGGUCCCAAGCGUUGUUCGGAUUCAUUGGGCGUAAAGGGUGCGUAGGUGGCGCCGUAAGUCAGGUGUGAAAUCUCGGGGCUUAACUCCGAAACUGCAUUUGAUACUGCGGUGCUUGAGGACUGGAGAGGAGACUGGAAUUCCUGGUGUAGCGGUGAAAUGCGCAGAUAUCAGGAGGAACACCGGUGGCGAAGGCAGCUCUCUGGGACGGUACUGACGCUGAGACGCGAAAGCGUGGGGAGCGAACAGG
Molecule: ribosomal RNA, 253 nt
Filed under: uncultured bacterium
Lineage: Bacteria
Description: partial 16S ribosomal RNA
Rfam family: Bacterial small subunit ribosomal RNA
Source: RNAcentral